Molecule: ribosomal RNA, 863 nt
Filed under: Pseudomonas fluorescens
Lineage: Bacteria; Pseudomonadati; Pseudomonadota; Gammaproteobacteria; Pseudomonadales; Pseudomonadaceae
Description: bacterial SSU rRNA
Rfam family: Bacterial small subunit ribosomal RNA
Source: RNAcentral
CUCUUGAGAGCGGCGGACGGGUGAGUAAUGCCUAGGAAUCUGCCUGGUAGUGGGGGAUAACGUUCGGAAACGGACGCUAAUACCGCAUACGUCCUACGGGAGAAAGCAGGGGACCUUCGGGCCUUGCGCUAUCAGAUGAGCCUAGGUCGGAUUAGCUAGUUGGUGAGGUAAUGGCUCACCAAGGCGACGAUCCGUAACUGGUCUGAGAGGAUGAUCAGUCACACUGGAACUGAGACACGGUCGAGACUCCUACGGGAGGCAGCAGUGGGGAAUAUUGGACAAUGGGCGAAAGCCUGAUCCAGCCAUGCCGCGUGUGUGAAGAAGGUCUUCGGAUUGUAAAGCACUUUAAGUUGGGAGGAAGGGUUGUAGAUUAAUACUCUGCAAUUUUGACGUUACCGACAGAAUAAGCACCGGCUAACUCUGUGCCAGCAGCCGCGGUAGUACAGAGGGUGCAAGCGUUAAUCGGAAUUACUGGGCGUAAAGCGCGCGUAGGUGGUUUGUUAAGUUGGAUGUGACAUCCCCGAGCUCAACCUGGGAACUACAUUCAAAACUGACUGACUAGAGUAUGGUAGAGGGUGGUGGAAUUUCCUGUGUAGCGGUGAAAUGCGUAGAUAUAGGAAGGAACACCAGUGGCGAAGGCGACCACCUGGACUAAUACUGACACUGAGGUGCGAAAGCGUGGGGAGCAAACAGGAUUAGAUACCCUGGUAGUCCACGCCGUAAACGAUGUCAACUAGCCGUUGGAAGCCUUGAGCUUUUAGUGGCGCAGCUAACGCAUUAAGUUGACCGCCUGGGGAGUACGGCCGCAAGGUUUAAAACUCAAUGAAUUGACGGGGGCCCGCACAAGCGGUGGAGCAUGUGGU